UGCAGGACACAUGAACAUUGACAUUUCGAACGCACAUUGCGGUCCAUGGAUUCCGUUCCCGGACCACGUCUGGCUGAGGGUCGGUAGUUAAAACUGAAAGGCAUUAUUCCGAUCCAUGCUGGGUGGUUCGCGGCAUGUGUGGCUUCAGCUGCCUCUGCGUCUCCUGAAAUGAACUCCGUUUGGAGCUGGACUUGUGACGAGGAAAACGGCUGGUCGCUUGGCGGCAGUUGAUUCCGGUGGUCCGCGCAGCGUCUCUGUAUGCUAGCGCCGGUUGCCCCGAUUCUUUCGCUUGGCGCGUCCCACCGUAGUGUCAUGAAAUGCCUUCCUACCACGACCUCAGAGCAGGCGAGACUACCCGCUGAAUUUAAGCAUAUCAAUAAGCGGAGGAA
Molecule: ribosomal RNA, 389 nt
Filed under: Odontura aspericauda
Lineage: Eukaryota; Metazoa; Arthropoda; Insecta; Orthoptera; Tettigoniidae
Description: eukaryotic LSU rRNA
Rfam family: Eukaryotic large subunit ribosomal RNA (bases 332-389)
Source: RNAcentral